Non-coding RNA from Pelobates cultripes (western spadefoot toad), 247 nucleotides. The record is from the annotation of a GenBank genome assembly. NCBI's taxonomy places the organism in Eukaryota, Metazoa, Chordata, Amphibia, Anura, Pelobatidae.
GAUUAAAGUUCUUAAAGAGAAUUUUAAAGACUCUCUUGAACAAGGCAUUUGAGAUGAAAAUGAUCACACAUUCAACACCAUAAAUGAAGGACUUAAUGUAGACUCUGGCUUUCUGACACACUACCAAUUUUCUUUUUCAUUUUUUUCUUUUUAACUAGCUUAUUGACUCUCUGCUGUUUAUUUACCUUUUCUGGCUAUUCAACCAAUCUGCACCUUUUACUUUCAGACACAUCUUCUGCUAUUUAUG